UACGGAGGGGACUAGCGUUGUUCGGAAUUACUGGGCGUAAAGCGCACGUAGGCGGUUUUGUAAGUCAGGGGUGAAAUCCCGGGGCUCAACCUCGGAACUGCCUUUGAUACUGCAAAUCUCGAGUCCGGAAGAGGUGAGUGGAAUUCCUAGUGUAGAGGUGAAAUUCGUAGAUAUUAGGAAGAACACCAGUGGCGAAGGCGGCUCACUGGUCCGGUACUGACGCUGAGGUGCGAAAGCGUGGGGAGCAAACAGG
Molecule: ribosomal RNA, 253 nt
Filed under: uncultured bacterium
Lineage: Bacteria
Description: partial 16S ribosomal RNA
Rfam family: Bacterial small subunit ribosomal RNA
Source: RNAcentral